RNAcentral lists this transfer RNA (423 nucleotides) under Koenigia sp. LB1043_1. RNAcentral's name for it is "partial tRNA-Leu". The record is from RNAcentral. Lineage: Eukaryota; Viridiplantae; Streptophyta; Magnoliopsida; Caryophyllales; Polygonaceae. RNAcentral also lists the same sequence under 1 other name.
GCAGAGACUCAAUGGAAGCUGUUCUAACAAAUUGGGUUGACUAUCAUGCGUUGUAAUAUUUUAUAAGAUUUCUUCCAUAAAAAUUCCAAAAAGGAUUAAGAAGAAACUUAUAGGCCUAAGUACUUAACUAGAAACAUUAUAUUGGUGACGACCCUAAUAUUUUUUUAUUUUAGGAAUAUGAACAAAUAAAAUAAUUAGUAUGAUUAUAAAUCGAUUCUAAGUUAAAGAAAGAAUCGAAUAUUCAUUUUUAAACUGAAAGCAUUUACUCCAAAGUCUGAUAGAUCUUUUGAAUAAAUGGUCUGUCGGAUGAGAAUGAAGAUAGAGUCCCAUUCUACGUGUCAAUCUCGACAACAAUGAAAUUUAUAGUAAGAGGAAAAUCCGUCGACUUUAGAAAUCGUGAGGGUUCAAGUCCCUCUAUCCCCA